AGCUGCACACAUAAGAGGAAACGCCGCCCUUCUUCGUCCUCUUACUUUUGUGCUGGAGCUGUAAUGGUCAGUUGGUAUGUUCAGAGUGUUUGACUCCACCCAAAAGAAGAAAAUGACCUACUUGCUGAUGGGUGCAAUUGGCUGAGAGGCAGACAUGGACCUUAAGUGAUUCUUAAAGAAAGAUGGUAGCAAGUUAAUCUUGCUGACAGGCAGACAAGAUGAUCCUGAAGUCAAACUGAAAAGGCUGUGAAUGAACCGGCUGUGAUGGGUGCUCGCCUUGACACAGGAUGGUGUCCUACUUGGUGCAGGACCAUGUUGUACUCAUUACCACAGCAGACCUGAGUUGGGUAUUGACACUUGCACAGGAGUGACUGGAUGAAAUGCUGCCAGAUGCAGAAUUGAGGAACUGUGUACCACAGUGGCUUGAGUGCAAGUGCGUGGCACAAGACCAGUGAAACCUGACUUGCCUUACUGGUUAAAUAGAUUUACACUUGUUUUUUUAGCAAUGCAAGGUUCAUGGAAAGCCUGUGAGCUAUAAUCAGGGGAAAGUGAGCCUGUAGUAUGUGAUGUGCUUUGAAACCUGUUUUAACCAAUAAAACACAUGAACAACUGGUCUGUUAAUGAA
This is a long non-coding RNA of Ictalurus furcatus (blue catfish), 625 nucleotides long. RefSeq lists it as uncharacterized. The transcript is spliced from 7 exons. The record is from RefSeq and is a predicted model, not a curated record. Lineage: Eukaryota; Metazoa; Chordata; Actinopteri; Siluriformes; Ictaluridae.